AUGCUCGCCCAGAGGCCUGUGCCCACACCCUCUCCUGUCCAGCCCUUGCCCGCCUGGGCAGGGCCCGGCGCCAUCCGUGGAUGAGCCACAGAACCUCUUCCACCUUCCGAGCGGAGAGAAGUUUCCAUUCCUCUUCCUCUUCCUCUUCCUCCUCCUCUUCCACCUCCUCCUCGGCCUCCCGUGCCCUCCCGGCCCAGGACCCACCCAUGGAGAAGGCCCUGAGCAUGUUUUCCGAUGACUUUGGCAGCUUCAUGCGACCCCACUCGGAGCCCCUGGCCUUCCCAGGCAAGUGAUCUGGGCCCUGAGGGGAGGGGAGGCGCACAGGGAGGGGACGUCUGCUCCAGGGCGCCACCGAAGGCGCUGUGGCUGCCGGUCGGCCUGGAACAGGUGCUGCACAGCCUGCAGCCAUGUGUGGCCACCAAGACAGAUGUGGCCACAGGGACAGAUGUGGCCAUGAAAACAGGUGGGCCUCUAAGGAACGGUUGUGGCCCUGGGGGUUGGACAUCGUUCCAUGGCCACCCAGCCAAUCCCAGCUGGAGCCCUGGAGGGCUGGACAGGGUGAGGGGUGGGAGGCAGCCCCCAGGCUCCAGGCCUGGGGUGGGGUUGUUACAGACCUAGCCUCAUAUACACACACACUGUGCUGGGUGAGGCCCCACCCCCACCCCAGAAAAGGUGGGCUGUAGGAAUGAGGAGGAGCUUAGGGAGAAACAGCUCGGGGUGGGGGAGGUAGGGCCUGGGGGAGCCGCCCCUUGCCCCAAGAGAAGGAGCCAGAACCCCCGGAUCUGCAUGCAAGGCCUGCUCCAUGCCUCGCUCACAGCAGCCCACCCCACAGCCCGCCCCGGGGGGGCAGGCAACAUCAAGACCCUCGGAGACGCCUAUGAGUUUGCGGUGGACGUGAGAGACUUCUCACCUGAAGACAUCAUCGUCACCACCUCCAACAACCACAUUGAGGUGCGGGCUGAGAAGCUGGCGGCUGACGGCACCGUCAUGAACACCUUCGCUCACAAGUGCCAGCUGCCGGAAGAUGUGGACCCGACGUCGGUGACCUCGGCUCUGCGGGAAGACGGCAGCCUCACUAUCCGGGCACGGCGUCACCCGCAUACAGAACACGUCCAGCAGACCUUCCGGACGGAGAUCAAAAUCUGAGUGCCUCUCCCUUCCCUUUCCCUGUCCCCCCCGCCCCAUGCCUGCCAGCAAAGCCUUGCUAACCCCAUUACAACAGCUCCAGGACAUCUCAGCCCAGGUUCUAGCCCCCACGCACCCCAGACCCCAGGUGGACCACCCUCCCAAAUUAGGCCCCUCCACUCUAUCCAGGGCAGGCCAGAGACUCCCUAGCCUGACACAUGAUGCCCAGAUUUCAGAUUUGGCCUCCCUCACUUAAUCCAGAGUACAGGGGCUGGGGUCAGGGAAGGAAGAUCUAAAGAACCCGCUGUGGGUCAGGGGAAUGGGACCAGCAGGACAUAUGGGCAAGCUCUGCAGGACAGACAGACAGACAAACCCUCUGAUCUAUGAAGUCUCUGCAGGGCAAGGGGACCAGGGACCUGGAACCCUCUUGGCCAAGGUGAGUGUGAGAGACAGAGGGACGGUCACAGGCAGGGGUGCCUAUCUAAGUGGAACUAAUUGCCCGAGGGCUCAGCAAGGCCAAGAGGAGACAGCCGUGACGGUAAACUUCCCCUCUACCAGCCUCCAAGCCCCACGCCAGCGAGCAGGCUGCCUGCCCACCCUGUGCCCCCAGCCAGCUGGCUGUGCCAGGGCAGAGCCAUGCCACAUCUGUAUAUAGAUGGGGUUUUUCCAAUACAGCUGGUUCGUGAUAAACUGCAUGAAACUCCGGCCGUCCUGUGCCUACUGGGGCCUCCAGGCAAGGCCACGUGGGGUUGGGGGUGGGGCUGGUCCUUCUCUCUCCCACAGGCCUGUGUUCUUGGGGCUGCGCCCAUGCAGACAGGAUCACCUAACAGAGAUGGAAGCCAGGGCAUGGAUGGGGCUUUGGGUCCUCGAGGUUGGACCCCAGCUUCUUGCCACCUUCCCCUCCGGGCAGUCGCCUCUCCAUCCAUCCCCCUCUUUAAUCUAUGAAUCUAUAGGCUCGGUGUGUGUAACACACACACCCCUAUCGUUGUCCUUCAAAUACUCAGCAUUACCAUUGGUUGAGGCCAAAUUCAGAGCUUUCUCAAAUCAGAUUUACAAUCUCCAUUUUCAUUAACGGGGAAACAUCUCUGAGCCACUGAGUGCCGUGCUUUGUCGCUGAAGGUUAGAUCUGAACCCAGGGUGUCAACAGCUGCUCUCAACUCCCCACCUCUGGGCACUGAGGAGUAUUUCCCCUCAUUCUACCUCUCUAAGCCUAUGCGCCCUCCCCACGUCUUCCAGCUGGGGGAUGGAGGGAGUCAUAGGAAAAGCCCCCAUCUCCCAUCUGGGAUAGGGACCUUCCAUCAGCCUCAACCCUGGGAAAUGCCUGCUGCCCCCAGUGAUUCUUGGUUUCGUCUCCCACAUACAGAAGCAGGGUGGAGGGAAGGGGUGGGUCUCAGUUAGCAGGGGUCCCCAGGGCAAGUCACCCUCCUCCCUCCGCGCCUCUCUGGUCAGUGUGCCUUAGGGUGGCCUCUCACUCCCACCACUCUGGGCCCCUUGGGGGAGGACUGGGGAGGGGUCCGUGGGUGAGCCCUGACGCUGGAACCUGUAUACACAAUAAAGGACAGUCUCACAGAC
Molecule: small RNA, 2697 nt
Filed under: Pongo abelii (Sumatran orangutan)
Lineage: Eukaryota; Metazoa; Chordata; Mammalia; Primates; Hominidae
Description: retained intron
Source: RNAcentral